GAUGAACGCUGGCGGCGUGCCUAAUACAUGCAAGUCGAGCGAACAGAUGAGGAGCUUGCUCCUCUGACGUUAGCGGCGGACGGGUGAGUAACACGUGGAUAACCUACCUAUAAGACUGGGAUAACUUCGGGAAACCGGAGCUAAUACCGGAUAAUAUAUUGAACCGCAUGGUUCAAUAGUGAAAGACGGUUUUGCUGUCACUUAUAGAUGGAUCCGCGCCGCAUUAGCUAGUUGGUAAGGUAACGGCUUACCAAGGCAACGAUGCGUAGCCGACCUGAGAGGGUGAUCGGCCACACUGGAACGGAGCCACGGUCCAGACUCCUACGGGAGGCAGCAGUAGGGAAUCUUCCGCGAAGGGCGAAAGCUUGACGGAGCAACGCCGCGUGAGUGAUGAAGGUCUUCGGAUCGUAAAACUCUGUUAUUAGGGAAGAACAAAUGUGUAAGUAACUAUGCACGUCUUGACGGUACCUAAUCAGAAAGCCACGGCUAACUACGUG
Molecule: ribosomal RNA, 497 nt
Filed under: uncultured bacterium
Lineage: Bacteria
Description: partial 16S ribosomal RNA
Rfam family: Bacterial small subunit ribosomal RNA
Source: RNAcentral